Molecule: ribosomal RNA, 1228 nt
Filed under: Triticum aestivum (bread wheat)
Lineage: Eukaryota; Viridiplantae; Streptophyta; Magnoliopsida; Poales; Poaceae
Description: partial small subunit ribosomal RNA
Source: RNAcentral
ACCACAUCUGAGGACCAAACACACUGCAUGUAGUGAGAAGCGAGCUUCUUCUGAGGUGUUUUUGUUUCGGAGUACCAAGUGAACCACAAAGGAGUUUUUGUAGCGAACUGCGUGAGAGAGAAAAGUGAGCUUCAAAACAUAAAUAUCCACUCAUUAUUUUUAUACAACCACACAACUAUCCAGUACACAGCAGAAUCAACGACACAAAGUACCCAACCGAACUGCACUAGGCAAAGACUAUACAAAAUGACCAUCCAUUCUUACUACUCUUUCCUCUCUCCAUUUCUCAUAAACAACAAAAUGGACUUCAAAUGAAUAUUGAUGUUCUAUUCUCUUUCUUACUGAGUGCACUGCAAAUGAUUUCCAGAAGAAAAAUUGAGUGAGCUGCCAAACAUCGCACGUCAGCGACGGUGGACUGCAUUAUGGUCACCGGCAAAACGCAGGACAUGCAUGAUUAGCUGGCGAACCCCAAGUGCACACUAGAGGAGCUGCAUGUUCUGCUUUUCCUGAGCUACAUGUUCUGCUUGCGGAAGCGCACGGGCUACGCACACAGGAUUUGCCAACGGUGGCCGCCGCGGGAACUGGACUGCAAGCCGGCACGCUGCCAUACUUCUCCGGCGAGGAGAGAGCUGCGAGGGGUGCUCUGGCUAACCGCAGUGAAAUGCAAGAAAGGAAGAGGGAUCAGAGGAGGAAGGGCCCUGUGAUUGUAACACCGUGCCGCAGUGCAAGGUGGGCAGCUCCACUCGCCAUCCGCUCGGAGUCCCGGCGCUAGUGACGGAGACUGCGCGAGGCGGCCAUGGAUGAACCACAUCGGGGCGCGCGGUGCACUGCUCGCGGGAUCUGGCUGAACUACACAAGCAAAAUCCAGAAAAAAGAAAAAAAAACUCUUUCUAACCACACCCGCAUGGCGAGGUGCACUGCACCAUGCAUCACUGGCGAACAACACUAGCACGGCAGCCACGCUCGUGGCUAGCUCCCUCAGCCUCCCCUUCUCAAGCUGUCGGAGGUAGUUAGAAGGGACGGGAGCGGGACGAUGCGGAUCGGAGACCUCCGCCGCGGGACUGUCGAAGGGCGGCGAGGCAAGGUAGGGCGUUGGCCGAUCCGGUCGUGGGUAGGGUGGAUCCGGCCGGGGCGACCAGCAAGAGAUCGUCGGUGGGGCGAUGCAAUCAGGAAGGGGAGGGACGGCGGGUGGGCAUGAGAGGAGGCGCGGUGGCCGUCGGACAUGAAU